ACCUUGCAUGCUUAUGGAGAGAGUUCUUUAUAAGUAUGUGGCGGUUGCCGCGACCUCUAGCUCGCAAUCUCAGAUCGGAGGUGUAACAGUUUUGUAGCAAGGUAGAAGUAGUAUCCUUUAGUUUUCUUUGAGUACCCUACGAACAAGCAUCUGUCGGACUUUAGUCCAAACUUGUCUACCUUUAAAUGCUUGACAUAAGCUAGACACCC
This 209-nucleotide long non-coding RNA is filed under the name Elaeis guineensis (African oil palm). RNAcentral's name for it is "long non-coding RNA (EGUI_LNC041028)". Lineage: Eukaryota; Viridiplantae; Streptophyta; Magnoliopsida; Arecales; Arecaceae. The record is from RNAcentral.